RNAcentral lists this ribosomal RNA (598 nucleotides) under uncultured freshwater bacterium. RNAcentral's name for it is "bacterial SSU rRNA". It matches the Rfam family "Bacterial small subunit ribosomal RNA", at positions 8 to 600 of the family's 1533-position model. The record is from RNAcentral.
AGAGUUUGAUCCUGGCUCAGAUUGAACGCUGGCGGCAUGCCUUACACAUGCAAGUCGAACGGCAGCACGGGUGCUUGCACCUGGUGGCGAGUGGCGAACGGGUGAGUAAUAUAUCGGAACGUACCUUAUCGUGGGGGAUAACGCAGCGAAAGCUGCGCUAAUACCGCAUACGCCCUGAGGGGGAAAGCGGGGGACCGUAAGGCCUCGCGCGAUUAGAGCGGCCGAUAUCUGAUUAGCUUGUUGGUGGGGUAAAAGCCCACCAAGGCGACGAUCAGUAGCUGGUCUGAGAGGACGAUCAGCCACACUGGGACUGAGACACGGCCCAGACUCCUACGGGAGGCAGCAGUGGGGAAUUUUGGACAAUGGGGGCAACCCUGAUCCAGCAAUGCCGCGUGAGUGAAGAAGGCCUUCGGGUUGUAAAGCUCUUUUGUCAGGGAAGAAACAGCAGCUCUAACACAGUCUGCGAAUGACGGUACCUGAAGAAUAAGCACCGGCUAACUACGUGCCAGCAGCCGCGGUAAUACGUAGGGUGCAAGCGUUAAUCGGAAUUACUGGGCGUAAAGCGUGCGCAGGCGGUUAUACAAGACAGGCGUGAAAU